This 464-nucleotide ribosomal RNA is filed under the name uncultured Klebsiella sp. Its description in RNAcentral is "bacterial SSU rRNA". It matches the Rfam family "Bacterial small subunit ribosomal RNA", at positions 339 to 795 of the family's 1533-position model. The record is from RNAcentral. Lineage: Bacteria; Pseudomonadati; Pseudomonadota; Gammaproteobacteria; Enterobacterales; Enterobacteriaceae.
CUACGGGUGGCUGCAGUGGGGAAUAUUGCACAAUGGGCGCAAGCCUGAUGCAGCCAUGCCGCGUGUGUGGAGAAGGCCUUCGGGUUGUAAAGCACUUUCAGCGGGGAGGAAGGCGGUGAGGUUAAUAACCUCAUCGAUUGACGUUACCCGCAGAAGAAGCACCGGCUAACUCCGUGCCAGCAGCCGCGGUAAUACGGAGGGUGCAAGCGUUAAUCGGAAUUACUGGGCGUAAAGCGCACGCAGGCGGUCUGUCAAGUCGGAUGUGAAAUCCCCGGGCUCAACCUGGGAACUGCAUUCGAAACUGGCAGGCUAGAGUCUUGUAGAGGGGGGUAGAAUUCCAGGUGUAGCGGUGAAAUGCGUAGAGAUCUGGAGGAAUACCGGUGGCGAAGGCGGCCCCCUGGACAAAGACUGACGCUCAGGUGCGAAAGCGUGGGGAGCAAACAGGAUUAGAUACCCCUGUAGUC